This 477-nucleotide long non-coding RNA is filed under the name Rattus norvegicus (Norway rat). RNAcentral describes it as "long non-coding RNA NONRATT006990". The record is from RNAcentral. Lineage: Eukaryota; Metazoa; Chordata; Mammalia; Rodentia; Muridae.
CCAGAAGAGAAAUUACACCAGGUAGGAACGGAAAACUAACAUAUUAAGACUCAUUAGAAAGAAAACAUUGUUAUAAGUUGGAAUUCACAGUGGACUGGGAAAAUAUGUUAUAUGCUCCUGCCAUGGGUGUUCGCUCAGUCCUUCUUCUGCAUCAAGAUUCUGUGAACAACGGAGCCCAAGCACAGGUACUCUGGCAAGUGACUCUGCCUUGCCACAGUUCUGACCUAGGAGGGACCUUACCCUGACCCCACCAUUGAGGAUUCUGUAGCAGAAAUGAAGUUGCUGAAACAUUAUAAAUGUUUGUUUACCAGUUUAUUGACUUCUGGGUGCUUCUGUUUAACCUGACUUAAUUGUAACAUAUGUAAUUUGGUUUUGUGUAUUUCUCAAACAUGAAUAUCCAGAUUUCUAGGAGCCAAUUAGUCUGAUGGCACAGUACAAGAAAACAGCUGUUUGUAAUAAACUUUCUCAUUGAAAUCC